GCAAGUCGAGGGGUAAGGCUUUCUUCGGAGAGUACACGACCGGCGCACGGGUGAGUAACGCGUAUGCAACCUGCCUCUUACAGGGAGAUAGCCCAGAGAAAUUUGGAUUAAUAUCCCAUAGUUUAUAUUUAUCGCAUGAUAGAUAUAAUAAAGCUCCGGCGGUAAGAGAUGGGCAUGCGUGACAUUAGUUAGUUGGUGAGGUAACGGCUCACCAAGUCUACGAUGUUUAGGGGUUCUGAGAGGAUUAUC
This 249-nucleotide ribosomal RNA is filed under the name uncultured bacterium. RNAcentral's name for it is "partial 16S ribosomal RNA". It matches the Rfam family "Bacterial small subunit ribosomal RNA", at positions 57 to 305 of the family's 1533-position model. The record is from RNAcentral.